UGUUGUUUUUCCGAAAAUCAAUUACGAAUGGCUUGAUUUUGUGUUGUAUUGACCUUAUCAGCUUUCUUCACUUUUUUCGAGUCUUUCUUAAUGCACUUUUCGGUUAACAAGUCAACAUCAAUUUCUUUUGUUGUAAAAGAGUAUUCGGAAGGUGGCUUUCUUUUCGGAGAAAGUGUUUAUAGCCCUAUACUUCUACAAUCGGAGAGAUUGAGGUCUGCAGCGUAGAUCCUUCGGGGUUAGAUACAUUUGUGCUAAGUUGUAGCUUUUCAUAGACAACUUGUUGACUAUGUUUAGUCGUGCGGCUUACUCGCUUAUGCUAUUUUACCUAC
Molecule: ribosomal RNA, 329 nt
Filed under: Neocallimastigales sp.
Lineage: Eukaryota; Fungi; Neocallimastigomycota; Neocallimastigomycetes; Neocallimastigales
Description: partial large subunit ribosomal RNA
Source: RNAcentral